UGGGAUAUAGCCAAGCGGUAAGGCAACGGGUUCUGAUCCCGUCAUGCGUAGGUUCGAAUCCUACUAUCCCAA
This 72-nucleotide transfer RNA is filed under the name Streptococcaceae bacterium. Its description in RNAcentral is "tRNA-Gln". It matches the Rfam family "tRNA". From Rfam's summary of the family: Transfer RNA (tRNA) molecules are approximately 80 nucleotides in length. The record is from RNAcentral. Lineage: Bacteria; Bacillati; Bacillota; Bacilli; Lactobacillales; Streptococcaceae.